UACGUAGGGACCAAGCGUUGUUCGGAUUUAUUGGGCGUAAAGAGCUCGUAGGCGGUCUGUUACGUCUGCUGUGAAAACCCUGGGCUUAACCCUGGGCUUGCAGUGGAUACGGGCAGACUAGAGGCAGGUAGGGGAGAAUGGAAUUCCCGGUGUAGCGGUGAAAUGCGCAGAUAUCGGGAGGAACACCGGUGGCGAAGGCGGUUCUCUGGGCCUGACCUGACGCUGAGGAGCGAAAGCGUGGGGAGCGAACAGG
This 253-nucleotide ribosomal RNA is filed under the name uncultured bacterium. Its description in RNAcentral is "partial 16S ribosomal RNA". It matches the Rfam family "Bacterial small subunit ribosomal RNA", at positions 524 to 776 of the family's 1533-position model. The record is from RNAcentral.